GUCACGAUUUCCAUGUAAAGUUUUGUUGCGCCUAAGCUAAGAAGCUAGCAACAAAAGUAUGUACGUGGCUCAAAUAUAUUAUCCACACAUGCACCUUUUCGAUCAGAUGCUAGCUGAUGCAAAAGUAUAGUUAGUAACAACCCCACUGAGAACACAUGCAUACAAUUUUUUUUCUUUUUUGAGAUAUACUAUAAAAAGCGUUGACCAGAGCACGUAUAUAUGAGGUGUAUGAGCACUUAGACAUGAGUACUACUACUUGACCGGGGUUGACCCGUGUUGCUCCUAAUUAAAGCACAUAUAUAUUCCUCUAGCUCGAUCUCUCAGUGGAUAAUGAUAGUGACAUGUACUGGAAAAUGUCAACAACAUCACCAACACUAUAUACCCUCGACACGCCCGCAUAUUCCACUACGGAUGGCACACAUCUGGUCAACUCCCGACACACAGUUAUUGCUAAUCUAGGAAGAGAGAACAGUGGUUUAUUUAACAGUUAACAACAACCUCAUUAAUUUUAUAGUCCAAG
Molecule: long non-coding RNA, 520 nt
Filed under: Brachypodium distachyon (stiff brome)
Lineage: Eukaryota; Viridiplantae; Streptophyta; Magnoliopsida; Poales; Poaceae
Description: long non-coding RNA (BDIS_LNC004120)
Source: RNAcentral